Molecule: ribosomal RNA, 247 nt
Filed under: Foraminifera environmental sample
Lineage: Eukaryota; Foraminifera
Description: partial Bacterial large subunit ribosomal RNA
Rfam family: Bacterial large subunit ribosomal RNA
Source: RNAcentral
GCCAUGAGCUCGGUGAAAUUGUGGUAUCGGUGAAGACGCCGGUUACCCGCAACGGGACGGAAAGACCCCAUGCACCUUCACUACAACUUAACAUUGAUAUCGGAUACAGGAUGUGUAGGAUAGGUGGGAGACUAUGAAGUGGCGUCGCUAGGCGUUGUGGAGUCAUUGUUGAAAUACCACCCUUUGGUUAUCUGAGGCCUAACCCCGCGUUGUGGGGGACAUUGCUUGGUGGGUAGUUUGACUGGGG